RNAcentral lists this unclassified non-coding RNA (318 nucleotides) under air metagenome. RNAcentral's name for it is "partial contains small subunit ribosomal RNA, internal transcribed spacer 1, and 5.8S ribosomal RNA". The stretch from base 1 to 46 matches the Rfam family "Eukaryotic small subunit ribosomal RNA", at positions 1786 to 1831 of the family's 1831-position model. The record is from RNAcentral.
AAGUCGUAACAAGGUUUCCGUAGGUGAACCUGCGGAAGGAUCAUUAACGAAUAUAACAAGGAUUGUUGCUGGCCUCUUGUAGGUAUUGUGCACGUCCUAUUAUUCUUAAACCACUGUGCACCUUUUGUGAGCCUUUGUAAACACGGAUUUUGAGACUUGCGCCUAAACCGCGCUUGACUCGCUAAAGUCCGUCUUGCAAAGGUUUCACGUUUAUUACACAAACUAUACGAAUAUUUAGAACGCAUCAAUAGAGUUGGGACUCGCGCCCUUCUUUAAUAAAAAUCUAUACAACUUUCAACAACGGAUCUCUUGGCUCUC